ACAGAAGAAGACACCGGCUAACUCCGUGCCAGCAGCCGCGGUAAUACGGAGGGUGCGAGCGUUAAUCGGAAUUACUGGGCGUAAAGCGCAUGCAGGCGGCCGCGUUAAGUCAGAUGUGAAAGACCCGGGGCGUUAACCUCGGAAAUUGCAUUUGUAAACUAGGCAGGCUAGAGUCUUGUAGAGGGGGGUAGGAAGUUUCAGGUGUAGCGGUGAAAUAGCGUAGAGAUCUGAAGGAAUACCAGUGGCGAAGGCGGCCCCCUCGGACAAAGACUGACGCUCAGAUGCGAAAGCGUGGGGAGCAAACAGGAUUAGAUACCCUGGUAG
RNAcentral lists this ribosomal RNA (324 nucleotides) under uncultured bacterium. RNAcentral's name for it is "bacterial SSU rRNA". It matches the Rfam family "Bacterial small subunit ribosomal RNA", at positions 481 to 793 of the family's 1533-position model. The record is from RNAcentral.